AAAUUAAUAUAAUUUGGACAAAUUUGACGGGCUGGAUUAAAAAGCCAAAUGGGCCACAUCUGGCCCCCGGGCCAUAGUUUGUCUGCUUAAGACCAAUAUCUACUAGUAGCUGGUAAGAAAUAACUGGGCAUCAUGUUUGUUUAAAGCUGUGGUGAUUUUAAUUCAAAAUGUAUAUUUUUAAACUACGUGUAUAAAUAUAACUCAGAGUUCAAUACAAAGCAGAUGUGUCCCCCCUCUGAUGGUCUGUCCACAGAGUCUUAGUUCUAGUUUCAGUCUCUCCUGCAUUGGCUUAACUCUUUGAGACUUAGAGACUGCUAUUUAUAUCCUCCACUGCUAUAAUUUUAAACCCUCCCAAACAUAAUAAUCAGGACGUUGCGGAAUAAGCCUUAAAUUACACACCCAACACAACAGCCCUAUGGUGACGGUGGUGAAACGGUGGCUCAGUUUGUUUCCACGGCGUGUCUUCACAUUUACACGGAUAGUUCAUCUGCACAUGGCAAAAAGUACAACUUUAGAUGACAUUAUUUUUGCAAUUUUAUUCAGGGUGGACUGACUUCCUGUAGACUGACUUCCUGUAAAACACAGCUGUGAUUUGGAUCGUUUGGCUUUCAGUGGAUGUACUCCUCAUUUCCUUCCUUUUUUUUUUUUUUUAUCUUACUUUCCCUCUCCCUCACCCCUUGCUGUAUAGGUGAGAGUUGACACACUCAGCAUGGCACAUGUAAAGUAUGAGGUCACUGGGAUCAGACGUAUUGCUGACUGUCGUGGCACCAGAGAAUGAUGGGAAAAUGCAGAGGAGGACAGUUGACAAAACAAAGUGGGAGAUAAGUCGCAGAAUUUCCUGAAAAUUUCCCUCACCGCUCAUUCUCCAGCUCCAAUUCAAAUCACCCGCGUCACAAAGACACUUUGACCUCGUGCACAACAGCACUGUCAGGACCUUUGACCUCUGCUGACGACUGCUUCUGAACGUUAAUCUGAUCUGAGUGUGAGCUGUAGAUCUAAUCCUUUUUGUUUCUUUUUUGCGCAUUUUAGACAUUGUGUACUUUACAUGCUGCACAAAUGAUGAC
Molecule: long non-coding RNA, 1064 nt
Organism: Cynoglossus semilaevis (tongue sole)
Lineage: Eukaryota; Metazoa; Chordata; Actinopteri; Pleuronectiformes; Cynoglossidae
Exons: 3
Source: RefSeq, a predicted model, not a curated record